This 472-nucleotide ribosomal RNA is filed under the name uncultured bacterium. RNAcentral describes it as "partial 16S ribosomal RNA". It matches the Rfam family "Bacterial small subunit ribosomal RNA", at positions 28 to 523 of the family's 1533-position model. The record is from RNAcentral.
GACGAACGCUGGCGGCGUGCUUAACACAUGUAAGUUGAACGGUCCGGCAUGGAAGCUUGCUGAAGUGUCGGGUAGUAGCGGACGGGUGAGUAAUGCAUGAGAAGCUGCCAUUGGGAGGGGGACAACAGUUGGAAACGGCUGCUAAUACCCCAUAUGCCGGAAGGUGAAACGGAGUGAUCCGCCCGAUGAGGUGCUCAUGUCCUAUCAGCUAGUUGGUGAGGUAACGGCUCACCAAGGCGACGACGGGUAGCCGGCCUGAGAGGGUGACCGGCCACACUGGAACUGAGAUACGGUCCAGACUCCUACGGGAGGCAGCAGUGGGGAAUAUUGGGCAAUGGGGGCAACCCUGACCCAGCGACGCCGCGUGAGGGAAGACGGCCUUCGGGUUGUAAACCUCUUUUGUACGGGAAGAAGGACGUGACGGUACCGUGCGAAUAAGUCCCGGCUAACUACGUGCCAGCCGCCGCGGUAA